RNAcentral lists this ribosomal RNA (951 nucleotides) under uncultured marine bacterium. RNAcentral describes it as "bacterial SSU rRNA". It matches the Rfam family "Bacterial small subunit ribosomal RNA", at positions 60 to 1015 of the family's 1533-position model. The record is from RNAcentral.
AGUCGAGCGAAGCUUUUCAGUAGUUUACUACAGAAAAUGACUGAGCGGCGAACGGGUGAGUAACGCGUGAGCAAUCUACCUUAGUUACAGGGAUAGCCCGAGGAAACUCGGAUUAAUACCUGAUAUUCUUUAUAUUUCGCAUGAAAUUAAAAGGAAAGGUCAGCCGAACUAAGAUGAGCUCGCGUUCUAUCAGCUAGUUGGUGAGGUAAAAGCUCACCAAGGCUACGACGGAUAGCUGGUCUGAGAGGACGAUCAGCCACACUGGGACUGAGACACGGCCCAGACUCCUACGGGAGGCUGCAGCAGGGAAUAUUGUGCAAUGAACGAAAGUUUGACACAGCGACACCGCGUGUGGGAUGACGGAUCUAGGUUUGUAAACCACUUUCAGGAGGGAAGAAAAUGACGGUACCUCCACAAGAAGCCCCGGCCAACUACGUGCCAGCAGCCGCGGUAAUACGUAGGGGGCGAGCGUUGUCCGGAUUUAUUGGGCGUAAAGAGCUCGUAGGCGGUUCAACAAGUCGUUCGUGAAAGUUCAGGGCUCAACCCUGAAAUGUCGAUCGAUACUGUUGUGACUAGGAUACGGUAGAGGUGAGUGGAAUUCCGAGUGUAGCGGUGAAAUGCGUAGAUAUUCGGAGGAACACCAAUUGCGAAGGCAGCUCACUGGGCCGCUAUCGACGCUGAGGAGCGAAAGCUAGGGGAGCAAACAGGAUUAGAUACCCUGGUAGUCCUAGCUGUAAACGAUGGAUACUAGACGUAGGAACUGGAUUGACGGUUUCUGUGUCGCAGCUAACGCGUUAAGUAUCCCGCCUGGGGAGUACGGUCGCAAGACUAAAACUCAAAGGAAUUGACGGGACCCCGCACAAGCGGCGGAGCAUGCGGCUUAAUUCGAUGAUACCCGUAGAACCUUACCUGGACUUGACAUAUAGGGUCUAGCUAUAGAGAUAUAGUGUG